Long non-coding RNA from Sorghum bicolor (sorghum), 683 nucleotides. RefSeq lists it as uncharacterized. The transcript is spliced from 4 exons. The record is from RefSeq and is a predicted model, not a curated record. Lineage: Eukaryota; Viridiplantae; Streptophyta; Magnoliopsida; Poales; Poaceae.
CUCUCUCUCUCUCUCUCCCUCGCCUACCUCUCACCUCCCUCCCCUUCCUAUCUCUCUUCCCCUCUCUCCAUGUGCGGCGGCAACCAACAGUCGAGGCAGCGCCUCCUCGACGCUCCGACAUCGGUGGACCUCCACGGUUCCCAUACAUCUCCCCCAUCCUUUCCAUGGGUUUCGCAACGCCUCUUCCUGCCGGUUUCGUGAUAUGAUGCUGGCCUGACCAAAUAAUCCAACUUCACUUGAUGAAUUUGUUUAAACAAAGAUAAGGAACUCUCUUCAUUUAGUACAUAGUGCUAUCAAGUUCAUGAUGAAAUAAGUGCUCUAUCCAAAUUCACUCAGCCGAUGAGCCUAUCCUCAAGAACUAUCGCUCUUGCCUACUUUUAUCAUCUGCUUCACUUUCUUAGAUUUACCAACAUAUGCUAAACCACGAGAACGGGAUGCCGAGUUGUGGUGUCUUUGUCCAAUGCGCUAUCACCAGCCUCGCCCUUUGCAACCUGCAAUAGGUAACGUAAUAUUCCUCAACAUCCUUUGGGCACCAGUUACCUACAGAUACCAUAAAACUUUUAUUUGUGCUUCCUUCAUAUAAUACAUAUGUAGAUUGGUUUGAUGGACCUUUAGUUUGAUUCAUACAUUUGUAAUAUAUAUUUUUUGUGUGCUUACCUUUCUAUACAUGUUGUUCAAAAGCA